AACGUAGGACGCAAGCGUUAUCCGGAGUUACUGGGCGUAAAGGGCGUGCAGGCGGCUUGUCAAGUGGGAUGUCAAAGCGCACAGCUUAACUGAGCGAGGCCAUUCCAAACUGAUGAGCUGGAGGGCAGUAGAGGUAGGCGGAAUUCCGGGUGGAGUGGUGAAAUGCGUAGAGAUCCGGAGGAACACCAGAGGCGAAGGCGGCCUACUGGGCUGCACCUGACGCUGAGCCGCGAAAGCCAGGGGAGCGAACGGG
This 253-nucleotide ribosomal RNA is filed under the name uncultured bacterium. RNAcentral's name for it is "partial 16S ribosomal RNA". It matches the Rfam family "Bacterial small subunit ribosomal RNA", at positions 524 to 776 of the family's 1533-position model. The record is from RNAcentral.